This 201-nucleotide unclassified non-coding RNA is filed under the name Glomeraceae sp. Its description in RNAcentral is "partial contains 5.8S ribosomal RNA and internal transcribed spacer 2". The stretch from base 1 to 71 matches the Rfam family "5.8S ribosomal RNA", at positions 84 to 154 of the family's 154-position model. The record is from RNAcentral. Lineage: Eukaryota; Fungi; Glomeromycota; Glomeromycetes; Glomerales; Glomeraceae.
GUGAAUCAUCGAAUCUUUGAACGCAAAUUGCACUCCCUGGUAUUCCGGGGAGUAUGCCUGUUUGAGGGUCGUUAGAAUCAUAAAUCGUGGCGUCGCUCUUUUCUUUUAGGGUGCUUGCGUCGGUAUUGUGUCGUUUUUAAAAUGUUCAUUCAUGUUAUUGUGGCUUAAAAUUCAUCCCACCGGUACGAUCUAAGCCUAUAU